This 376-nucleotide ribosomal RNA is filed under the name uncultured Desulfobulbus sp. RNAcentral describes it as "bacterial SSU rRNA". It matches the Rfam family "Bacterial small subunit ribosomal RNA", at positions 1012 to 1382 of the family's 1533-position model. Lineage: Bacteria; Pseudomonadati; Thermodesulfobacteriota; Desulfobulbia; Desulfobulbales; Desulfobulbaceae. The record is from RNAcentral.
UGGCUUCCAUCUGGAAGAAGUCUGGAGACAGGUGCUGCAUGGCGUGUCGUCAGCUCGUGUCGUGAGAUGUUGGGUUAAGUCCCGCAACGAGCGCAACCCUUGCCUUUAGUUGCCAGCAGUUCGGCUGGGCACUCUAAAGGGACUGCCGGUGUUAAACCGGAGGAAGGUGGGGAUGACGUCAAGUCCUCAUGGCCUUUAUGACCAGGGCUACACACGUACUACAAUGGCCGAUACAAAGGGCAGCGACACUGCGAGGUGAAGCCAAUCCCGUAAAAUCGGUCUCAGUCCGGAUUGGAGUCUGCAACUCGACUCCAUGAAGUUGGAAUCGCUAGUAAUCGUGGAUCAGCAUGCCACGGUGAAUACGUUCCCGGGCCUU